Andrographis paniculata is the source of this 192-nucleotide long non-coding RNA. RefSeq lists it as uncharacterized. Lineage: Eukaryota; Viridiplantae; Streptophyta; Magnoliopsida; Lamiales; Acanthaceae. The record is from RefSeq and is a predicted model, not a curated record. The transcript has 3 exons.
AUGAUUUCUAAAUGGGAAUUGUUGAUUCGUUGGUUUAAGGCGAAUCGAGACGGCGAUUUGUGGUAGUCUUGGUUAUUUUGAGUUAUGCACACGGUUAUUGGGUUCAGCUGUGAAUAGUCGAUGGGACUCUGCUGGAGCUGGAGCAGGGGAAUUGAUAUAAGGAGAGUUUGUAGGCUGGGGGAUCCAACCAAU